CUUUUUAACAACAUGAAGUUGAAUUAUGUGUACUCAGUAGUGAUAAACUCGUUUUUUGUUUUUAUUUUUUUAAUAAAUCUGGUCCAUCAUGUGUAUGUCGGCCGUAGUGCACGCUAUCAAAGUCAUCAUAGGCUGGUAGGCUUUGUGGGCAUCCCUCCAAUAAAGCCAGUGGAGCAUCA
This is a long non-coding RNA of Hippocampus zosterae (dwarf seahorse), 179 nucleotides long. RefSeq lists it as uncharacterized. The record is from RefSeq and is a predicted model, not a curated record. The transcript has 2 exons. NCBI's taxonomy places the organism in Eukaryota, Metazoa, Chordata, Actinopteri, Syngnathiformes, Syngnathidae.